GCGCAGCAGGCGAGAAUCCUCCACAAUGCACGAAAGUGUGAUGGGGUUACCCUGAGUGCCAUCCGAUGAGGAUGGCUUUUCACCAGUGUAAGGCGCUGGUGGAAUAAGGGGAGGGCAAGGCUGGUGCCAGGCCGCCGCGGUAAAACCGAGCUCCUCGAGUGGUCGGGAUGAUUAUUGGGGCCUAAAGCGUCCGUAGCCGGUCUGGUAAAGUCCCCGGUUAAAUCCGGCAGCCUAACUGUCGGCCUGCUGGGGGAUACUGCUAGACUUGGGGGUGGGAUAGGCUAAAGGUACUCCCAGGGUAGGGGUGAAAUCCUAUAAUCCCUGGGGGACCACCAGUGGCGAGGGCG
Molecule: ribosomal RNA, 347 nt
Filed under: uncultured microorganism
Description: bacterial SSU rRNA
Rfam family: Archaeal small subunit ribosomal RNA
Source: RNAcentral